RNAcentral lists this unclassified non-coding RNA (249 nucleotides) under Glomeraceae sp. RNAcentral describes it as "partial internal transcribed spacer 2". The stretch from base 1 to 65 matches the Rfam family "5.8S ribosomal RNA", at positions 84 to 154 of the family's 154-position model. Lineage: Eukaryota; Fungi; Glomeromycota; Glomeromycetes; Glomerales; Glomeraceae. The record is from RNAcentral.
GUGAAUCAUCGAAUUUUUGAACGCAAAUUGCACUCUUUUGUAAUAGUAUGCCUGUUUGUGGGUCAGUAUCAAUUAAAACCGGAGUGUUGCUUCUGUGUGACGCUCCGUUGUUUGGGUCAUCUUAAUAUCCUUUAGGUUUUAAGAGGCUUAAAAUUGACUUUUUUUGCUCAUUUUAGAUGUACAUAAAUUCUUUUUUUUAUUCUUCUGUCUGAUUUCUAUAAAUCCUAUUAGAUGCGACCAUAUGGUGUG